Long non-coding RNA from Octopus bimaculoides (California two-spot octopus), 5572 nucleotides. RefSeq lists it as uncharacterized. NCBI's taxonomy places the organism in Eukaryota, Metazoa, Mollusca, Cephalopoda, Octopoda, Octopodidae. The record is from RefSeq and is a predicted model, not a curated record.
CCGGGGGGGGGUUCAAUCGGGGUGGAGAGGGGGAAAUAAAUAUUUUGAAAACGUUUUUUCAAAAUUUUUUUUAAGCAAAGAAAUUUCUUUUUUGAAUGGGGGUGGGUGGAUAAGGGUACUAACACCCGACGUCCGCCUCUUUACAUUUUAUAUAUAACGUAAUGUGAACAAUACUGCAAUUUCUUCACAUCAACUACUACUCCACACAUACACACAUAUAUAUAGUGUUUGAAGUGGUAUAGAUACAUUUCUUUUAUUAGCCACACAGGGCUCAACAAAGAUGGGACAAAUACAAUGUAGAGCUUUUCUUUUUGGGAGGGGAGGAAAUUAAAAAAGGGGGGUGUCGAUCAAAAGGGAUCGUAGGAAGGGAAAAAGGGAGGAGUUCGAUCAAAAGGGAUCGAGGAAAAAAAAAAGCGAUCAAUAGGGAUCGUGUAUCACACAGUAAUGUUCUCGUGUAAAAAGAGGGGAGGACAGUUUAGGUUUAGCCGUGGAAAGAAAAGCCUACGGAAAAGACCACGGUAACCUUGGUCAAUAUUGUCAUUGAAGAAACUAUAACAAUUGUCAGACGGCACUGGUCAAGUACAUCAUCAGUAUGCAUUUUAUAUUAAAAAAUAAUGAGAAAUAUUACACAGAACUGAACUGAACUUUUUUAUGUAAAAUCUAUGAUGAACUAUUAUAGUGAAAUGGUCGUUUUGAACUAGGAUCAACAUUUAUAUCUUUCUUAUUCAUUAUAUGGACUAUCCCCAUAAGUUUGCAUUUUAAUUAAAACUGGACAUAUUUACAAAGAGAUCACUGUUCCUAAAGAUCACUAUAAAUGAAAAUAUAGUAUUAAAACUGCAAAGAAGAAAAAUAUCCGUAUAUUGUGGUAAGAGUGGAAAAACGAAUUGUGUAAGAAACUUCAAGGACGUUUAUCGGAUAAGAUAUCAGAAAUAAUGAGGAAAUAAUGUGUGAUAUUUGUAAAGUGUCAUUCUCUGUAGAAUGUAACCACAUUCAGCUUGAUGAGAAGCCAUGUUGUAAUGAUAUGUGGCUAUUCAUUCUUUCAGAAUAAAAAGUUAACUAUGCAUAAAUGUAGUAAUACAGAAGAGAUACCAUUUCACUGUGAUAUCUGUAGUAAAUCAUUCUGUCGAAGUAAUGACUUAACAAGACUCAGAUGUAUACAUGCAGGAGAGAAGCCAUAUCACUGUGAUAAAAGUUUUACUCAUGAACAUGAAGUAACUAAAUGCAUACAUAUUCGAACAGGAGAAAAACCAUAUCACUGUGAUAUCUGUGGUAAACCAUUCUCCUGAAAUGGAGUUUUAACUAAACACAAAAGUAUCCAUGCAGAAGAAAAACCAUAUCACUGUGAUAUCUAGUAAGUCAUUCUCUGCAAAUGAUAAGUUAACUACACACAAACACGUUCAUACUGGUGAGAAAGUAUAUUGCUGUGAUGUUUGUGGUAAAUCAUUCUCUAACAAGUACAACUCAGCUACACAUACAAGAGAGUAGCCAUAUUGCUGUAAUAUAUGUGGUAAAGUUGUGAAGCCAUACUCUUGUGAUUUGUGUGGUAAAUCAUUUUCUCAAAAUAGUAACUUACCUACACACAAAUGUGUUCGUACCAGGGUGAAACCAUAUCACUGUGAUAUCCAUGGUAAAUCAUUCUCUCAAAAUGGAAACUUAACUAUGCACAAGCAUGUUCAUACAGGAAAGAAACUAUAUCAUUGUGAUGUUUGUGGUAAAUAAUUCUCUGGAAGUAUUGUGUUAACUGGACACCAGUGUAUUCAUACAAGAGAAAAGCCAUAUCAUUUAACACGGUAAGAGAGCUUAGGUCCGUGGGAGGAGCUAUGCUAGCAGGUUCUACUUUACCAGAUUGGUUCUCUCACUAUGUACAAACUAAAUGUGUUCCAUUCUCCCAAAGUGGUUCCAGUUGAUGGUGGGAGACCAAUUUGUGCAUGGGUGAUCUGAUUGGGCGGUGUGGGGUUCUUUGUUAUCAGGGUGGGAUGUUCUGGUCGUGGGGCCUGUGACCAUGAGUUCUUUACCGACUGGGUUUCAUAGGUUGGCCCAGUAUCUCUUGGUACAUUGUCCACGGUUGUUCCCUUCUGACCCAUAGCUGGCUCUGGCUUUUCAUAUGACAUUAGGGUAGGUCUCUGUGCUUGUAUGGUGGUUAUGAGCUUGAUGUUCACACGUUGGAGAAUUAGGGGGUGGGUCUUGUGGCUGUAUGGGAGGUUCCUGUUAGGUGUCAGAAGAUGCAAUCAGGCCCGGUUGGCGUAUUGACCAGCUGUGGCUUGCAUAGGGGGUGGUGUUGUUGUUUAUGAUCUGGGUGAGACUCUGGUUGCUGGUCUGGUUGCUGGCCAUCUUGUGCCAUUGAUGUGAUUCCUUGCUCCUUUAUUGGUUACCUUAAUCGAUCAGCCAUUUACACCUGGAAAAUGCCACAAAUCAGUAUGAUGAAAAACGAUAAGACUAAAAACAUACGGCAGCCAGGUGCUGAUAAACUGGUGGCCUGUAGGUCAGUGAUGGGACCCACAGGUCAGGCUCGACAUGGAGCAAUUACAUGUUGAGCCGAAGAGAGACUUUCUCUUGGGGUAGAUAAAGAGUCACAUCCGCCCCAUGGUAUGAAUAAUGACUCCAUACAAGACUUAGACAUAUAUCCAGAUUUAGACAAUAGUAGUUAUGGAAGUUUGAUACGCUCGACACUGGUAUAUUACAGAAAUUGACCUGGCGGGUUUGAGUUGUGAUACCUGAUGCACUCUGGUGUUGGAUGGAAGUUAGCUUCCACCUGGUUUUGGCAAGGAUGCCCUAGAGGAUGACUUAUCUUAUUCUGGGAAGUUCCCAGAAGAAGUGUUGAACAGGGUGAAUCCUAAUAUGGUCAGGGAUGGCUUUUGUCUUGCUGUCCCUUAUGCUUCAGUUGCUCUAACUUGUUCUUUAUGUCCACAAUUUUUCUCCUCCCUGUGACAGUGGGGAGAACAUCUGGAAUGUAGACAUGGUGUGAGGCCUGUCUACAAAUGCAAGAAAAGCUGUUAAAUGUGAAGUAACUACACAAAUGUACUCAUACAGGCGAAAAGCCAUAUCAGUGUGAUGUGCAUGGUAAAUCAUUCUCUGAAAAGGGAGUCUUAACUCAAAAUACGCUUAGCUACACAUAAGUGUAUUCAUACAGGAGAGAAGCCAUAUCACUGUGAUAUUUGUGAUAAAUAUUUUGCUGUUAAAUGUGCAGUGACUGUACACAAACAUACUCAUACAGGAGAGAAGCCAUAUCAGUGUGAUGUUUGUGGUUCUCUGAAAAGGGAGUCUUAACUAAACACAUACGUAUCCAUACAGGAGAAAAGCCAUAUCACUGUGACAUCUGUGGUAAAUCAUUCUCUGGAAGUAGUGACUUAACUAGGCACAAACAUAUUCAUACUGGAGAGAAACCAUAUCACUGUGAAUUCUGUGGUAAGUCAUUCUCCACAAGUAGCGUCUUAACGAUUCACAAACGCAUUCAUACAGGAGAGAAGCCAUAUCACUGUGAUAUCUGUGGCAAAUCAUUCUCUGCAAAUGAUAAGUUAACUUCUCACAAAUGUGUUCAUGCAAGAGAGAAGUCAUAUCACUGCGAUAUGUGGUAAAUCAUUCUCUCUAAAUGGUGAAUUAACUAAGCACAAAAAUGUUUAUACAGAAGAGCAGCCGUAUGACUGUAAGAUCUGUUAUAAUUCAUUCUCUUAGAAAUGUCACUUGGUUAAACAUAUAGCGAUUUAUAUAGAUGUGUAACUAUAUUACUAUUAAAAUUCAUUUUACCUGUUUAGUUAGGGAUUAAUCUUGUUGGCAGCAGUUGUAUUCAUGGUUAACUUUAUAAGUGUUUUAUAGCCAGUUAGCAUUUUCCAAUGCUAACUAUUUAAAAAGGUAAAGAACCCUUUGUUCAUGAAUGACCAUGGGAUUGCAUCUAAAAAUUUCCCCUCCAAGGUACAAAUCCAUGUAAAGUUGUUUAUGGAAUACCAACCAGCCUCUCCUCUCUAUACCACCAGUGUUAUCCAAGAGAAAGACAAAGGCCGAUACGGCUUGGCACCAGUGAUGUUGCAACUCAUCCUCACAGCUGAGUGAAUUGGAGCAAUGCAAAAUAUAGUGUCUUGCUCAAGAACACAGCACACUGCCUGAUCUGGGAAUUGAACUCACUACCUCAUGAUUGUGAACCUGACACUCUAACCACUGAGCCAUGUGCCUUAACCAUUUAAUCACCUUUUAUUAUAUACUUGGAUAUGACUUACACAAUCUAAACGCAGGAUAUGUGCAUUUUCUCAACCUUCAUUUUAUAAAUAGUUAUCUAAUGUAACCAUAAAUGUAUUGAAUGAUGCAGCACAAAGAUAUAACACAGUGGAAACAACCCGGCAACACAAUAUAAUAUAUAAAAGCACAACUAAAUCUACAAGUGUGAGAUGACUGAACUCUGUGUUAUUGUUAAUAAAAGCAUUUAUAUAUAUACUCAAUUUAACAUCUCUCCAGAAGAUAUUAUGUUACUCUGAAAACCUUUUACAUCAACUACAGAUAACAGCCAAAACAGGAUCACAGUGAAUAAGUUUCUUCUUCAGGACUGAUCAAUUAAUCAUUUACAAGACACGUGUAUUCUCAUGUGAGAAUAAUUGCUCACAUAUCGAGUACAGAAUAGCUGCUUCAUGCUUGUACUUUAGAUUUCAUGUUAACAAACAAUCUGGUAUGGUAGAACAAACCUUCACUUACCAACAAGCUACAACCAUUUAUUACAAUCGUUCCUCUUCCUCUCACUCAGUAAGCUGUGUACAGUCCCUGCCUGAAACACCUCUUAUCUUUUCAGUCUAACUGAGAACCUAUCAGUCUCUCAACCUGCUAGAAACAGUACCACAUCUCGAAUAAAAACUAUUCAUUAGAAGAGGGAAAAUUUAUUCCUGUCCUAUCUGUGCUCACAUAAACUGACAACAAAUGUUUCCAAACGUAUAUUUUAUGGAUAUGAACGUAUGUAAAUUGUGUAAUUAAAAAAAUAACAUUCAAUCAGUUUGUAAGAUAAAAAUAAAUAUGUGGAACAUGCAUCAAUGAAUAAUGACAUGCCAGACACAAAACUGGAUGUUUUUACUGUACAAGGCAAUGAAAAGGCUCAUUUGCUUAAAGUUAAAUCAAAUGACAUCAUAUGAAAAUGUGGAUACAAAUAGUUGUUACCUUUAUUCCAAGAUACAUUUAGAUAUUCAUUGGUCAGUUAAAAUUUCUCAAGAGCAACCUUCAACUUCAUCAGUUAGAUUGAUUAAUUAUUAAAAUAUUGCUUAUUUUAGAAAUAAGCCCACAUUUGGAAGUCAUACUCAUGGUUUUAGCAGAUUGUAAUAAACUCUGUUCUCUCUGAUGUAAUAAUAGAAAUAUUCUUAUACAACUAGAAUUUUAUUUAAUGUAGCCAUGAAAGGUUACAUUAUAAUAUACAAUCCACUAUCAUCAGGUAAGGUUUGAAACAUUGACAUGAUGGUGGUGGAUUGUAUAUGAUGAUGUAAUCUUUUGUGAUUACAUUAAAUAAAAUUCUACUGAAGCAGUAUUGAAUGAACUUUGAAAUGCCAUUUGUGUUUACAUUUUUUAUACACUUAGUAUUGAAUAAAAAAAAUUGUAAUACUAA